Molecule: small nucleolar RNA, 72 nt
Organism: Magnolia sinica
Lineage: Eukaryota; Viridiplantae; Streptophyta; Magnoliopsida; Magnoliales; Magnoliaceae
Product: small nucleolar RNA snoR60
Exons: 1
Source: RefSeq, a predicted model, not a curated record
AAGCAUGUGAUGAGUUACUCGGAUUCCCCUUCAGAACAUUUUGAAUGAUGCAGGUUCGAGUUUUCUGAUGCU